AUGAAUAUUCCGGAAAGAAUUAAGAUUUUCGGAUGGAGAGUCGCCACGGGAACGCUACCAACGAAGAAGAACAAAUGUAAACGCACAAUUGUUCAUGACAGCAUUUGUGACAUAUGUGGACAUGGGGAUGAGGAUGAAUACCAUGUGGUAUUAGCUUGCACGAAGAGCAGAGCGCUGCGUUUUGCUAUGAGAAAGGAGUGGAGCAUCCCAGAUGAACAUGAAUUCUGGUAUACCGGAAGUGACUGGCUCCAAGUCCUGAUGGACAAACAUGAACCGGAGAUGAGAGCUAAAAUCCUUCUUUUGCUAUGGCGUUCCUGGUUCCUACGGGAUGAUUGUGUGCAUCAUGAGGGCAAAGAAUCA
This 360-nucleotide ribosomal RNA is filed under the name Triticum aestivum (bread wheat). RNAcentral's name for it is "partial small subunit ribosomal RNA". Lineage: Eukaryota; Viridiplantae; Streptophyta; Magnoliopsida; Poales; Poaceae. The record is from RNAcentral.